This 826-nucleotide long non-coding RNA is filed under the name Ursus americanus (American black bear). Its description in RNAcentral is "lncRNA (ENSUAMG00000016653.1)". The record is from RNAcentral. Lineage: Eukaryota; Metazoa; Chordata; Mammalia; Carnivora; Ursidae.
CGAGAGAACUCCUAUUAGCCUGUCUUGACCCUUUGUUGUUCUUUCAUUGUAUGGAUGGUAUUUCUGUUAAUUUUGCCUUUUCUGUCAUGAUGAAUCUCUUGGCUCAUUCUGUAGGAAAGGGGCCUGAAGUACUUGAGGUUUGGGCAGCGUAACCAAUGUUGAAUAGGCUAGUGAAACAGAACAUAGUUCUCAAGAGUGUGUCUGAGUUUCCUGCAGCAUCAGGAGAGGGAGACAGAGACACCAUGACUUCUACCAAGAUGCUGCUGCUCUUGCUGUCCAUGGCUUUGGUCGCCCUGUGCUCUGCUCAGGGCAUCAGUGAUGAUGAUGAAUUAUUGGAAGAGAGCCCAGAGGAAUUACAAGUCCAACCUCAAGAAGAAAAUGGAGAUCCGAGAGGCAAACCUGGAGACAAAGGCCAUGGUCCACCAAAGAAGCCUCAUAACCAGGGUAUCCAGGGAGGCCCCAAAGGCCCACAUGGCCCAGGUGGCCCUCAAGGACCAGGUAGCCAACAAGGACCAGGUGGCCCACAAGGACCAGCUGGCCAAGGUCAUCCAGGUGGCCAGGGUCGUCCAGGUGGCCCACAAGGAUCAGCUGGCCAACAGGGACCAGGUAGCCCACAAGGACCAGGUGGCCAAGGUCAUCCAGGUGCCCAACAAGGACACGGUAGCCAACAAGGACCAGGUGGCCAAGGUGGUCCAGGUGGCCCACGAAAACCAGCUGGCCAACAAGGACCCGGGGGGCAAGGUGGUCCAGGAGGCCAACAAGGACCAGGUGGCCCACAAGGACCAGCUGGCCAACAAGGACCAGGUAGCCAACAAGGACCAGGUGG